AGUGAACGCUGGCGGUAGGCCUAACACAUGCAAGUCGAACGGCAGCACAGUAAGAGCUUGCUCUUACGGGUGGCGAGUGGCGGACGGGUGAGGAAUACAUCGGAAUCUACUUUUUCGUGGGGGAUAACGUAGGGAGACUUACGCUAAUACCGCAUACGACCUACGGGUGAAAGCAGGGGAUCUUCGGACCUUGCGCGAUUGAAUGAGCCGAUGUCGGAUUAGCUAGUUGGCGGGGUAAAGGCCCACCAAGGCGACGAUCCGUAGCUGGUCUGAGAGGAUGAUCAGCCACACUGGAACUGAGACACGGUCCAGACUCCUACGGGAGGCAGCAGCGGGGAAUAUUGGACAAUGGGCGCAAGCCUGAUCCAGCCAUACCGCGUGGGUGAAGAAGGCCUUCGGGUUGUAAAGCCCUUUUGUUGGGAAAGAAAAGCAGCAGGUUAAUACCCCGCUGUUCUGACGGUACCCAAAGAAUAAGCACCGGCUAACUUCGUG
Molecule: ribosomal RNA, 492 nt
Filed under: uncultured bacterium
Lineage: Bacteria
Description: partial 16S ribosomal RNA
Rfam family: Bacterial small subunit ribosomal RNA
Source: RNAcentral